This 66-nucleotide transfer RNA is filed under the name Lordithon exoletus. Its description in RNAcentral is "tRNA-Trp". Lineage: Eukaryota; Metazoa; Arthropoda; Insecta; Coleoptera; Staphylinidae. The record is from RNAcentral.
AAGGAUUUAAGUUAACUUAAACUAAUAGCCUUCAAAGUUGCAAAUAAAGAUUCCCUUUAAGCCUUA